GAGUCGAAAACGAUAGCGACGCGAUCGACAGACGACGGACGAGGUCGUAUCGUACGGGCGCCGGUGGUACGCGUACACUGACUGAACGCGACGGGGGCGGCGCACGCCCCGCGAGCUUGAAACGCGCGCGCGGCCCGAUCCCUCCCCUCCGCGCGCACCCGCCCAUCAUCGCCGCCGACGCCGCAGCCAAUUGGCAAAAACCACCGCCGCCGUCGCCACAGGUAUCGCCGGACUCGCCGCGCGCGUGCGACGGCGGAUAAACGCGCGCGGCAUUCGAACUCCACGAACGUUCGGGACGAACACGCUCCGACGCCGCCAAUACCGAUGAAGAUCGCUCGAACGCCGCCGCCAUCGAUGCCACCGAUGCCGCCGACGACGAUUCCUCGCCACCGCUGUUGUACCGUCAAGGAUACAAAUGAAGAUCAACAUUGGAAUCAUUAUGUGGGAACUAAUUGUACAUCAGAGGCAUCUAAAUCUUGGGAAUAAAUCUUAUUAAAAUCUUUCAACAUUACUACAACUUACAAGAUACAUUUAACACUAAACUGCUAAUACUUUUUAGUACAAUUAUAUAGAUACUAAUAAAUAAUAUCAAAGUACAAAAAUAAUCAUUAUAACUAUUAAAAAUUCAUUAUGUAUUUUUGUACAAUAAAUGAACAUAAGAUCAUUUAAAACA
Metopolophium dirhodum (rose-grain aphid) is the source of this 673-nucleotide long non-coding RNA. RefSeq lists it as uncharacterized. The transcript is spliced from 2 exons. Lineage: Eukaryota; Metazoa; Arthropoda; Insecta; Hemiptera; Aphididae. The record is from RefSeq and is a predicted model, not a curated record.